CCUACGGGUGGCUGCAGUGGGGAAUAUUGCACAAUGGGCGCAAGCCUGAUGCAGCCAUGCCGCGUGUGUGAAGAAGGCCUUCGGGUUGUAAAGCACUUUCAGCGGGGAGGAAGGCGUUAAGGUUAAUAACCUUGGCGAUUGACGUUACCCGCAGAAGAAGCACCGGCUAACUCCGUGCCAGCAGCCGCGGUAAUACGGAGGGUGCAAGCGUUAAUCGGAAUUACUGGGCGUAAAGCGCACGCAGGCGGACUGUCAAGUCGGAUGUGAAAUCCCCGGGCUCAACCUGGGAACUGCAUUCGAAACUGGCAGGCUAGAGUCUUGUAGAGGGGGUAGAAUUCCAGGUGUAGCGGUGAAAUGCGUAGAGAUCUGGAGGAAUACCGGUGGCGAAGGCGGCCCCCUGGACAAAGACUGACGCUCAGGUGCGAAAGCGUGGGGAGCAAACAGGAUUAGAUACCCUAGUAGUC
RNAcentral lists this ribosomal RNA (464 nucleotides) under uncultured Klebsiella sp. RNAcentral describes it as "bacterial SSU rRNA". It matches the Rfam family "Bacterial small subunit ribosomal RNA", at positions 338 to 795 of the family's 1533-position model. The record is from RNAcentral. Lineage: Bacteria; Pseudomonadati; Pseudomonadota; Gammaproteobacteria; Enterobacterales; Enterobacteriaceae.